This is an RNA transcript of Dermochelys coriacea (leatherback sea turtle), 7748 nucleotides long. It is a transcript of the gene named F-box protein 22, with no coding region annotated. The transcript is spliced from 9 exons. Lineage: Eukaryota; Metazoa; Chordata; Testudines; Dermochelyidae. The record is from RefSeq and is a predicted model, not a curated record.
UAGAGGCGGAGACCGGAAGUGGGCGCCGUGCGGAUGACGUAAUCGGAGUACGUCGCGGCUAGGGGCUUUCGGCUGCCCGCCGGCUUCUUGGUGCGCGAGGCAGACGCCGGGAGCCGAAGUGUGGGUGGCGGUUGCCAUGGAGUCGGACGGCAAAGGGCCCUACGUGCUGAGUAACCUGGCUGAGGUGGUGGAGCGGAUCCUGAGCUUCCUGCCCACCAAGGCAUUACUGCGAGCGGCCUGUGUUUGCCGGUUAUGGAGAGAAUGUGCCCGAAGAUUACUGAGAACACAGCAGAGCAUAGCAUGGGUCUCUGCACUUGAGCCUGGUCCAUCUGAUAGUCAUUCACUGGUCCAUGCAUUAGCCGAAGAACUUGAGAAUGUGCAUGUGCUACCACAAACAGUGCUCUACAUUGCAGAUGCAGAGACUUUCAGUGGAUAUGAAGAGUGUCACGGACAAAAGAGAGCAAGGAAAAGAAAUAGUAAAGAAACAGCAGUUGCACUAGAAAAGCUGUUGCCGAAACGGUGCCAAGUUCUGGGACUGGUCACUCCUGGAAUUGUAGUUACUCCAAUGGGCUCAAGCAGCAAUCGACCUCAAGAAAUCGAAGAUGGUGAAGCUGGCUUUGUUUUAUUGUUCCCUAAAAUUGAUGGUGUGAAAAUCCAGACCUUUCACUUUUUUAAAGACUUGAAGAAUAGGGUUUUUGAUGAAAGCAAAUUCACUGAAGCAGGACUUAAAAAUAAUCCGGAGCUCCGUGUGGUUCUUCUAUUUGUCUACAAUUCCUGGAAGCCAGGAGCUAAUCGGUUUCUUCAUCAGAUAAUCAAUCCUUUAAAUGAAAAAAGUAUCAUCUUGGCUGGGGGGCAUGUGGAGAGCUUGACGUCACUGAGCUCUGAGAAGCAUGUCAUCUCGUCCUUGACACAAAGCAGAAUGGAGAUCAGUUUGGUGAAAAAAGGAAGAAGUGAACACUUCAAAGGCACAAGGCCUGCAGGCCAAAAGUGGUGUUUAUGACUUCUGGUUUAUAGGAAGCAAAUAUGAUCCUGCUUCUACACACGUUGAAUAUGAUCAGAACGUUCUUAAAUGUUUGUUUUACACCACUGUAAAAUGAAUAGCCUACAUCUUCUAGAUGAGAAUACUAUUGGAUUGCGUAAAACCGUAAAAGUGGACCUUUGGAAGAAAGCAAGAAUAACCUGAUGAAGAUAAAGAGACCACAAAUCAUAUGAUACUAAAUCUUCACAAUUGCAUCAUCUAAAAGGGAUUUCAAUUAAAACCUUAGGAACAGUAAAUCUGCUUUUUUUUUUUUUUUUUGUCAUUUUCUGUGCCGGCAGAUUCCUUUUGGUUCAGGUUAAUAUUGAAAUAAGCUUUAUUUUAACAGAUGAAGACUCUGGGUCUGGUGAGUCAUGCCCUCUUUAGGGAGGGCGGGGGGUGGGGAGGAGAGCAAUAUACUAGAAUCCUGUAAAUGGUUAAACCACAGUCUGACUUUCAGGUACAGCAAAGGUGCCUGGUGAGACUGAACCUCAACUACAAAUUUUGGAAAAUCAGGUGAUUAAAAACAUUCAUUUUCUCAUUUACUUUUCAGGUAAAAAUGAAGCUCUGCUGUAUAUCAAAUGGGAUCUUGGAAUUCACUGACGUCCUGCCAAGAAAAAAAUGGGUAAUACUCUGUUCAUGUACUGUUUCAUUUUUUCAUCAUAUUUUAUCUCCACUUUUGGAAGAGACAGAAGUUUUCUAUUUCGACCAUAAGUCAAUAAAUUGAUUUUUUUUUUAGUCUUCAUUUAUCUAAGAAGGGCUAUUUCUGACAAAUCUCCAAAUUCCUCCAAAUAUGAAGCAUUCAUGGCGAAGUCAGAGAGCUUUUUUAAAAAAAAAAAAAAAUUUCCAAAAUAAAAUAUUUGUCAUCCCAUUUAAGACAAUAGGACUACUCAGAUGAGUACAUUUACACAUGUGUAGAAGUUUGCCCAGCACCUGGCCCAAUCUGAGUAGCCGCAAGGUAGUGAAUAUGUGUAAGUACAUGCUUUAUGUAAAACUUCUUUACUGCUGUAGCACCAUCUAUCAGAGAGUCUCCAAGUGCUUUACAAGCUAAAUAAAUGUAAUCAAUGUCCCGGUCAGCUGAUAUUUUUUUCAUGAGUGUUUCCGGGAAAGAAAACUUUGGCUGGCACAUUCACAGCGCAUCUAUACUAGGAAAAAAGGUGGUAGAUUUUGCUUUCUUAGUGUUCCUAGUGUGGACAAGGCAGAUGUACUUUUUGCAAGUGUUAGCAGGACCAGAUAAACCCUAGAUCAUGAUUUUCAUGAAUCUAUUCUUUGUUUGAAAUUAUUCACUGAAUGUUUUACAAGAAUGUGGUUCAGCUAGUGGGUGGCUCACAAAUACAAGUAGCAACUGCACACAUUGGAGCUAUGAAAUUUGAGCUGUUUUGUUUGAACAUAGAUCAUGUGGUAUGUUACUGUCCCCUGAGCACAACUGUCAGUCAGACCUAGUCUGCAUUUGAUAAAUGAUGCUGUUUAGGUACACAUCAGAUCAGCUUUGAACAGCCCUCACUUCUGGCUAUCCAGUUUGGAAGUAUACUCCCUAACUGGCUGCUCAGAGGUGUGCCCUCUAUGCAACAGGGCAGGCUGGAUCUAAAUUCUGUGGCUCUGUUGCUGGAUUCUGUGGCACAAUAGAAGUUUUCAUGGCCAUUUAAGUUUAAAUAAUGAUGGUUUAUAAUGAAAUACAGAAAUAAGACCAUUUAGUACAGGAACCCUCAUGUUUAUUUUGAUAUUGAAUUUAAUUUGUUAUGCUGUCCCCACAUUUUCAGUUUUUAUUAAAUAGUGGAUUUUUGUAUUGACAACAUGUAACUGCAGUGUAGAAGCUGGAGGUUUCAGAAGCUGCAUAGGGGACGGUUGGAAGCUUUGUUUUUGAGGAGGAGGUGGAAGUCAGUUUCAGAUUAUGAGAGAAAGCACAUUAACUGGAUGUUUCUGCUAGAAUUAUCCACUGUGAAACAGGUGACAUGGGGUGGGCUUUUUCAAAAACACCUCAGUGAUUUAGGAGCAUAAAUUUCAUUCCUAAAUCACUUAAGCACUUUUGAAAAAUCGCACCGUAGAAGUGCUAUAAUUGGGGUGUUAACUGAAACCUAUUGAGAUGAAAGGGCAGUUCACACUUCUUGAUGUAAUUAUUAUUUAUUUAUUUUCAGACUGGCUGCAAGCUCUGGCAAACAUCACUGAAUUAUUUAUGUUCACUUCACCUUUUCCAAGUCAUCUUAGCAAUUAUAAAGUUACAAAUGUCUUUUUAAAAGAAGUUUUGUCCUGGGAGUACACAGGCAGAGGGGGGGGAAAGAGGAAUUCUUACAACCUGCCUCGAAGAUUGAGGGAAGUGACAGAAUACCCAGAAGUAACAGCCAAAGUAGUGGAUGCUGUGAUGGAGAAAAGAAUGUUGAGAUAUGGAUACAUAGAUACAUCAGCUUACACAGACUAUGAUCACAAACAAAAAGGAAGCAAAACCAGGUAUAUACUUUAGGAAUAUAUGAGAAAUGGGUAACUUUAAGUAUAAUAAAGAAAAACUGUUUAAAUUUUUUCAGUGUCCUUUUGAUAUUGGAAUGAUUUUUAUCUUCAAACUAUAAGAAAGGCAGCUAUGCCUGAAAGGAUUUCAUACCGUCUAGCAUUACUCUUAAUGGAAAAAAAUUGACAAAUGCUUUAUCCUAGAUUCUUUUGACUUAUCCAGUGUUAUAUUGGGGGUGGGGGGUGUUAGAGGAAUUCUUAUUUUUCCAUAGCUCUGCAACUGAGCAUAUAGCUGCUAACAAUAAGUGUGUUAAGAAAUCAGGGUUUUGUGGUCUAAAUAGGUGCUUAACUGGUAACAUCAGUAAAACUGCCAGUGAAUGACAGUGUUUCCGGACUAGUAUGCUUGGAUUUUUAGGGUAGUCCGAAGCGGGGAGGGGGAAGGAAUACCAACCAAUCCACAAUUCCUCCAGCAAAUAUUUGAAACAUCUUUAUAAUGUUUCAAUCUGAAGAAAGUCAAAUACCAGUGCAAUAUGAUUUUGUAUUGUGUUUUUCUACAUGUUACCAUAAAAGAGAAAGUUGCUCCAGGCCACAUGCAUGACCACUGUUCAUGAAAGAUCUCUUCACACAACUACUCCUCCCACUUACGUAUCUAAUUUUAUAAUUUAAUCAUUACCAAAUACCUGGCAGGAAUUAUAUCUUCUGAUCCCUUAGAUUUCAUAAUUAUUUUUUCCAAUUCUGUGAGGGCUCUAACUAAAGCAACUCAUAGUAUGAAUGGUUUUUAAAUAUUAAGUAAUUAAAAGUGAGGAUUUCUAAUGGGACAAACAUUUUCUGUAUUUCAUCUGUCCACUAGUUUCCCUUUUUAAAUAACCAUCAUUCUGCAGAAGCUCAUCUCCUUUCCUUAAAGACAAAAAAUAACCCAAAAGAUCUGAGGAAGACUAGAAUUCCAUUUUAUCGCAGUAAGUUUGGGAGAUUCUGGUCUAUCUCUAACCCUUAUUUUCUCCUGUAACUUUAGGGUAAGAAGUAGACUUCUACCAAGUAGACUUCCUUCUGUUUUCCCCUUGAUUUUUGGGAAUAAAAAUCAAAGCAAUUAGUAGAAUAGGAAACUCCUCUUGUUCUCUUUCCACUUGUUUCUCUCUCUCUCUCUGGUGUACCUUGUUACCAAUGUUCAAGGUGGGUCACCCAGUAAGAACCUUUUAUAUGGGGCACUGCCACGUUGCCUUAUGAUUUAGUUCUGGAAAGAGUCUUCCUGUUAAUUUUAGCCAUUUUGUUUCCCCAAAUGAGCUGGAGGAUUUUCUAACAUCUUAUGGGAAAUCUUUACUGGAAUAUUCUGGAAGAGGAAGGUGAUUCUCAGGAGCAACAUUAUUGUUAUGGUAAUAAUGUUGCCAAAUGACUAUAAUCAUCUCUUGUUUUUCAAUCACUUUUUAAUUUUUUUUAACAAGCACAGGUGGUGGCUUCAUAUAAUGUUAUUAAAUGGAAAAUAACAUUGACCACUACACAAUUGUAUGUGAUGUUUGGCUAACUUGCAUUUAAAAUUAAUUUGUAGCCUUGUCUGACAUUGAUCUUUAAGGCAAACUGACAUGACUUGCAAUUUUGUAUAAUUAAUUUUAAAACCUAUGACCUCCCUAAAUGCCAUUCUUUUGAGGGAUUCUGCAAUCAUGAAUAGGACUUCAUCCACAAAGAAUGCUAUUUUAUGGAUUGACUUCUUUGCAUUUAAAUCCUGUAUUAGUUUAAUUUUUCUAAUUUUCUGUGUAAAUGGUUUCUUGGUUAAUACAAACAAGGUGGGGAAUAGUGGAAAACUUUGCCAUAGGCUUCUACAAAAUGAGAGCGGCUCUGAAUAUUUAUUAUUGACUCUUUCUUUAGCUUUUAUAGAUUGGUAUAAGAUUUCAGUCCAUUUUUUUCUUUUACUUUCUAGACCUAAUCCCUUCAUAAACUUCCAUUUAACUUGCUCAUAGACCUUUUCCACAUCUAGUGAAAGUAACAUACCUGACCUCCUUAUCUUUGAUAGGCUUGAAUGGAUCACAAUCAGUAACCUAUGAAUGUUAUUUAAUAGCUGUCUUCCCUGAUUAAAUCCCAUUUGAUAUAUACUAGUUAUUUUAAGCAUAAAUGAUUCUGUCAACACCUUUGCAAAACUCUUAAAUUCCAUAUUUGACAAUGAGAUGUGCAUAGGUGAAGUAUAUUCAAUCUUAUAUCUUUUGGCCUUUAAAAUCACAGCAAUAUUGACUUCUUUCUUCAUAUCUGCUAAUGUUUUGAAGUCCUGAAAAUUACUUAGAAAUUUGGGGGAAAGCUGAUAAGUCGAAGAUUUGUACAAUUCAAUUGAGAACCUUUCCAGACCAGGUCCUUUACUUGACAGCAUAUUUUGAAUGACUGAUUUGACUUCCUUAAAUUCUUUCUGCAGAUGUUCAGGUAUAACUGGGAGCCCAACUUCUCCAGUGUAAGAACUUGUAUGACAGUGCAUUUCACUCUUGUGUUUUCUGAUACCAAUCAUAGUAUUUUUUUCUUUUUCCUGUCUUAGCCUAUAUGAUGAAUUGUUAUGGCCCUUGUUUCCCAUCCCAUUGUACUUUUGUUUAAACUGAUAUACAAUAUAUUCUAUUUUUUCUGGCCACAGAACAGAGAGUUGCCCUCUAAGGGAGGGAGGCUUAGCCAGCAUUUUCCUUGCACCUGUCUUUUUGUGUAACUUCUCUAAUUUUUUUAUUUCAGAGAGAAAAAACUUGUCUUCUGUAUUUUUUCCCCUUUUAAUUCUAGAGAAUGUCUCAAUUAAUUUCCCCCUCAAUGCUGCUUUAUAAACCUUCCAUAGUGUAUUGGUACAUAAGUUUCCAUUUUUGUCAUUAUUGAAAGAAAUUUUGUUUUUGCUAAUUACAUCAUUCAAUACUAUAAGGUUUUCAAAUAAUGGAUUAUUCAGGUCCCAGUUGCUAUGCCUCCUACAACCAAACAAAUCUUUAAGUGUUGUCAUGCUAGGAAUAGGGACUGACCAUGUAAGCUCAACUCUCUUUGCCUCAGUCAGAAAAUCCUUUAAGCAAGCAGACAGAGAUAUAUAAUCUAUUUGCAUGAACAGCAAAUGGGGAUAUGAAUAAAACAAAUAAUCCCUCACAAAUGGCUUCACAUUCUUCCAUGAAUCCAGUAAACUGAGCUGUGAAAGAUUUUGUUUCAAAUAUGAGCCAGGGGAAUUGGGUUCUUCCUUUCUACUGUCUGAUCUAUCAGCUGUAGGAUUUGAGGUGAGAUUUAAAUCUCCCUCAGCAAUGAGAUCCUCAGAAGAAAAUGUCAAGACAGGAAGAAUAGCACUGGGAAAGGCUCUUUGUCCUGUGUUAGGAGCAUAUACCAAGCACAGGGUAAUUACUCUGCCCAGUAGAUUUCCUUUAACUGUUAUGAAUUUCAUCAUCUUAACACUGUUUUACUUCAAGCUGAAGUCUCUUAGCUAGGAGGCUGGCCAACAAAGUGAUGUUUCUAGACAGUGUGAGGAACCAUUGAAUCACUAUUUAAAACAAAAAUGUAGGUCUUAUAUCAGCUGGAGAGAAAGUGGAGGGAGAGGCCCUUUUAUCCACAUCUGGUGAGUAUGUCUGAAGUCAGCCAAAUUCUGUACAUAUAUCCCAGAUAUGUUUUGAAACCACUGGAUUGAGACAGUCCCUUGACCUCUUUGUGCUGUUUUCAAGCUUUCCUGUGAGAAGGGGAUGAUCUGGUGAAAACCUCUUAAGAUGAUAUACUCUUUACAUGGUGAAAUACCUCAAAGAUUCUCAUGCUCCCUGUCUUUGCAUUGAAAAAGAAAGAACUCCCUGAUAGAACUACUUGGCUGCACAGAGUCUGCAAUACAUUUGUCAGGGGAAAGCACACAGAAGGUUCAAAAAUGGUUCUAAUGAUUUCUCUACAAUGUGACUUCCCUUCUUUGAAAGUAAUCAGGCACUCUGAUAAAUGUAACUAUUUUUCCUUAUUAUGAUCUAUGUGCCAUCUUCUCCCAGUACAUUAGCAGAUUUAUUUGUAUCUAAUUUCUUCUUUGUUCAUCCUGGUUACCAGACCCUCCACAGCACCUGGUAUGUUGUUAUGGUUCCUCUGCAUGUUGCUCUCCCAUGGUUCCUGUUUUAUUGCUUUAUUCUGUUAUUUCUGAAAAGUAAAAAAAAAAAAAAAAAAAUUUUUUUAAUAACAAUUACUCCUCUCUUCCAUCCCCAAAAUAACCCUGCCACUUAAUUUCUAAUGUACUCACUGUUGCAGCCAUUGCUGCUGGUAGUCUCAACCAGGCUGGCACCACGCUCUGUUGCGCUAGCCCUUCGAGUGUUGGCCUUCCUGACCGUGAAUAAGUAACCCA